RNAcentral lists this long non-coding RNA (401 nucleotides) under Struthio camelus australis. Its description in RNAcentral is "lncRNA (ENSSCUG00000012567.1)". The record is from RNAcentral. Lineage: Eukaryota; Metazoa; Chordata; Aves; Struthioniformes; Struthionidae.
UGCAUUUCAAGGGAUAAGAGGAAAGAAGCACAGUAGCUACUUAAUUUAGAAAACAUAUUUGAAUGUCACCUGCAAGUCUGAAGCCCAUAUCAUUAAAGGUAACCAGUAGUUCGUCAGCAGGAGAGGUGCAGUUCAGGAACCUGGGGCUCUGUUACAGGGCAGAUGGACGUGCUGCUGAUCUCCCCUGUCCUGUGUUUGCCCUGCUCGAGAGAGCCGAGGAGAAUUGACUUUCUUGACUAUCUCAAAGUUUAAUGGAUGAAUUUCUGGAGAUGCUAAUUAAAAUAUAUCACUGUUAUUGGCAAAAUAAGCUUCCUCCUAUUUGUUUUAUUGUACUUACUCUUUUUACCUCUUUUUUCCCUAAGGAAAAAAAGUAAGGAGGACUUAAUGAGACUGAAGAGAAC